This 490-nucleotide ribosomal RNA is filed under the name uncultured bacterium. Its description in RNAcentral is "partial 16S ribosomal RNA". It matches the Rfam family "Bacterial small subunit ribosomal RNA", at positions 28 to 507 of the family's 1533-position model. The record is from RNAcentral.
GAUGAACGCUAGCUACAGGCUUAACACAUGCAAGUCGCGGGGCAGCAUGGGGGUUGCUUGCAAUCCCCGAUGGCGACCGGCGCACGGGUGAGUAACGCGUAUCCAACCUGCCCUUCACCACGGGAUAACCCGGCGAAAGUCGGACUAAUACCGUAUGUUGUCCAUUGACGGCAUCCGAUUUGGACGAAAGGUUUGGCGGUGAAGGAUGGGGAUGCGUCCGAUUAGCUGGACGGCGGGGUGACGGCCCACCGUGGCGACGAUCGGUAGGGGUUCUGAGAGGAAGGUCCCCCACACUGGAACUGAGACACGGUCCAGACUCCUACGGGAGGCAGCAGUGAGGAAUAUUGGUCAAUGGGCGUAAGCCUGAACCAGCCAAGUAGCGUGCAGGAUGACGGCCCUAUGGGUUGUAAACUGCUUUUAUGCGGGGAUAAAGUGGCCCCCGUGUGGGUUUUUGCAGGUACCGCAUGAAUAAGGACCGGCUAAUUCCGUG